GGAUGUGAGGGCGAUCUGGCUGCGACAUCUGUCACCCCAUUGAUCGCCAGGGUUGAUUCGGCUGAUCUGGCUGGCUAGGCGGGGGUCCCCUUCCUCCCUCAACGCUCCAUGUGCGUCCCUCCCGAAGCUGCGCGCUCGGUCGAAGAGGACGACCACCCCCGAUAGAGGAGGACCGUUCCUCGGUCAAGGGUAUACGAGUAGCUGCGCUCCCCUGCUAGAACCUCCAAACAAGCUCCAAGAGAAAAGUAUGAAUGUAUUUACCUUACACUUGCCAAACGGCCGUGGAAUGUGAUCUGUUCCCCUGCUUUU
This 309-nucleotide small nuclear RNA is filed under the name Chinchilla lanigera (long-tailed chinchilla). RNAcentral's name for it is "7SK RNA (ENSCLAG00000022126.1)". It matches the Rfam family "7SK RNA". From Rfam's summary of the family: 7SK was discovered as an abundant small nuclear RNA in the mid-70s but a possible function has only recently been suggested. The record is from RNAcentral. Lineage: Eukaryota; Metazoa; Chordata; Mammalia; Rodentia; Chinchillidae.